AUGUUGUUUUGUCAAAAUAAAAAAAAAUAUUUGCGGGGUUUUAAACGGCUCGUGUUUAUGGGUUGACAGGUCUGAAGUAAAAGUCGUGUGAUAGAUAUAAACCCUAAAGGAGUCAAUAUUUCUUAUAAUUUAAAAAAGCAAAAUAAAAAAUUUACAUUUUAUUUAUAAAAUAUCAAAUUUGUUAGCUAAACAUGUUCACAAACUCGACUCAAAAUUGGUCUACAUGCGCAUUACCGGCGCCAAGAAUCUUUAUAAGUAGAAAAAAUGGGCCCUUGUUGAGCCAAAUUUGUAUGAGAGUUUAAACUUUUUGUUGGGUUUAUAUUUAAACUAUUGGACCACUUCUAAUGAAUGAGAGUUUAAACUUUUUGUUGGGUUCAUAUUUAAACUAUUGGACCACUUCUAAUGAAUGAGAGUUUAAACUUUUUGUUGGGUUUAUAUUUAAACUAUUAUAUUAAGUUAUUCUACAAAGAUUUCUAAAAGUAAAAAGUGUAAGAAUGCAUUAUAAAGUGACAGGUGUCCAAGAACCCUACCCCCAUCACCCACCCCCAUUUUUUUUGUGUAGUGGGUUUAUUUUUAGAAGCCUUUGAACACUUCUUAUAUUUAGAAGCCUUUGUAUUUGAUCCUAAACCUUAAGCUAUUGGACCACUUCUAAAUGAGUUUAAACUUUACUAACGGGUGUUCAACUAGUAAAACAGUAACUUAUGUUAAAAUGAAUUUAGUGUUCAAUGAGUUUAAAAUAAAUAAAAUAUUAAUGGAUUUAAAUGUUUAACAAAGUAUAUAGAUUUUUUUUAAAUAUAUAUAGUAUAUACACAUACUAAACCCAAACCUGUGAAUCUGCUUAGUGUCAUACUAAAAAUUCAUACCCCUUAAUUUUAUUACUAAAUCAUUCCAAAUCGGCAGUGAUAUGUUUCUAUGUGCUUAUGAAGUUUUUCUUGAAUAUUGUACUUGCCGACAAUAUUUUCAGAGGUGAAACUAUUACAUCUGACCUCAAAGUUCAAAUUAGUGAUCUCUUUAUUCCUAUAUUUAUUACUUGACUUUUACUUUCUGAAAAAAAAAAAUGUAAAUGUACUACCCUCAAAACAUUGUUUGAC
RNAcentral lists this long non-coding RNA (1091 nucleotides) under Helianthus annuus (common sunflower). RNAcentral describes it as "hypothetical non coding rna". Lineage: Eukaryota; Viridiplantae; Streptophyta; Magnoliopsida; Asterales; Asteraceae. The record is from RNAcentral.